ACAGACACACAGGGGGAAAGGCCACAUGAAGACAGAGGCAGAGAUCAGAGUGAUGCUGCCGCAAGCUAAGGAAUGCCAAGGAUUUCUGGCAACCCCCAGAGGCUAGAAGAGGCAAGAAAAGAUCCUUUCCCAGAGUCUUCAAAGGUGUUCUAUGCACACUGGUCUAUGCCUGUACCCCCUUCUCCCAAAUGUCCAGUUUGAAUGAUUGAUGAUGUGGUCACCGUGCCUCUGAGGUCCUAUUAUUAUCUACCAUUUCACAAAUGAGGAAACCAAGACACAGAGAAAUUAAGUGACCUGCUCAAAUUCACACAAAGAGGUGA
Long non-coding RNA from Canis lupus familiaris (dog), 320 nucleotides. RefSeq lists it as uncharacterized. The record is from RefSeq and is a predicted model, not a curated record. The transcript has 2 exons. NCBI's taxonomy places the organism in Eukaryota, Metazoa, Chordata, Mammalia, Carnivora, Canidae.